UACAUGGGGUGCAAACGUUGUUCGGAAUUACUGGGCGUAAAGCGCGUGUAGGCGGCCCUGCAAGUCGGGUGUGAAAUCCCACGGCUCAACCGUGGAAGUGCAUUCGAAACUGCAGGGCUAGAGUCCUGGAGAGGAAGGUGGAAUGCUUGGUGUAGAGGUGAAAUUCGUAGAUAUCAAGCGGAACACCGGUGGCGAAGGCGGCCUUCUGGACAGUGACUGACGCUGAGACGCGAAAGCGUGGGGAGCAAACAGG
Molecule: ribosomal RNA, 253 nt
Filed under: uncultured bacterium
Lineage: Bacteria
Description: partial 16S ribosomal RNA
Rfam family: Bacterial small subunit ribosomal RNA
Source: RNAcentral